This 497-nucleotide ribosomal RNA is filed under the name uncultured bacterium. RNAcentral's name for it is "partial 16S ribosomal RNA". It matches the Rfam family "Bacterial small subunit ribosomal RNA", at positions 28 to 507 of the family's 1533-position model. The record is from RNAcentral.
GAUGAACGCUGGCGGCGUGCCUAAUACAUGCAAGUCGAGCGAACAGACGAGGAGCUUGCUCCUCUGACGUUAGCGGCGGACGGGUGAGUAACACGUGGAUAACCUACCUAUAAGACUGGGAUAACUUCGGGAAACCGGAGCUAAUACCGGAUAAUAUAUUGAACCGCAUGGUUCAAUAGUGAAAGACGGUUUUGCUGUCACUUAUAGAUGGAUCCGCGCCGCAUUAGCUAGUUGGUAAGGUAACGGCUUACCAAGGCGACGAUGCGUAGCCGACCUGAGAGGGUGAUCGGCCACACUGGAACUGAGACACGGUCCAGACUCCUACGGGAGGCAGCAGUAGGGAAUCUUCCGCAAUGGGCGAAAGCCUGACGGAGCAACGCCGCGUGAGUGAUGAAGGUCUUCGGAUCGUAAAACUCUGUUAUUAGGGAAGAACAAAUGUGUAAGUAACUAUGCACGUCUUGACGGUACCUAAUCAGAAAGCCACGGCUAGCUACGUG